UCGAGGAUUUUUCUCAAUGGGCGAAAGCCUGAAGGAGCGACGCCGCGUGGGGGAUGAAGGUCUUCGGAUUGUAAACCCCUGUCACUUGGGAACAAAUUGGUUGACCUAAUACGUCAGCCAUUGAUUGUACCAGGAGAGGAAGACGUGGCUAACUCUGUGCCAGCAGCCGCGGUAAUACAGAGACGUCAAGCGUUGUUCGGAUUCAUUGGGCGUAAAGGGUGCGUAGGCGGUGAGGUAAGUCGGAUGUGAAAUCCCAAAGCUUAACUUUGGAAGUGCAUCCGAAACUCCCUCGCUGGAGGACUGGAGGGGAGACUGGAAUUCUCGGUGUAGCGGUGAAAUGCGUAGAUAUCGAGAGGAACACCUGUGGCGAAGGCGGGUCUCUGGACAGUUCCUGACGCUGAGGCACGAAAGCCAGGGGAGCAAACGG
RNAcentral lists this ribosomal RNA (427 nucleotides) under uncultured bacterium. RNAcentral's name for it is "bacterial SSU rRNA". It matches the Rfam family "Bacterial small subunit ribosomal RNA", at positions 355 to 775 of the family's 1533-position model. The record is from RNAcentral.